GGAUAGAGGCCUACCAUGGUGGUAACGGGUAACGGGGUGUUAGGGCACGACACCGGAGAGGGAGCCUGAGAAACGGCUACCACAUCCAAGGAUGGCAGCAGGCGCGCAAAUUACCCAAUCCCGACACGGGGAGGUAGUGACAAUAAAUAACAAUACGGGGUUCUUUCGGAUCUCGUAAUUGGAAUGAGUACAAUUUAAAUCUCUUAACGAGGAACAAUUGGAGGGCAAGUCUGGUGCCAGCAGCCGCGGUAAUUCCAGCUCCAAUAGCGUAUAUUAAAGUUGUUGCAGUUAAAAAGCUCGUAGUUGAAUUUCGGGAUCGAAUUGUCGGUCGUGCUUCGGUACGCACUGGCAUUAUCGGUUUCUACCUUCUGAAGAACCGCGAUGUCAUUAAUUAGGUGUCGUGGGGAAUCAGGACUGUUACUUUGAAAAAAUUAGGGUGUUUAAAGCAGGCGUACGCUUGAAUACAUUAGCAUGGAAUAAUGAAAUAGGACGUUUGAUUCUAUUUUGUUGGUUUCUAGGAUCGACGUAAUGAUUAAUAGGGAUAGUUGGGGGCAUUAGUAUUCAAUUGUCAGAGGUGAAAUUCUUGGAUUUAUUGAAGACUAACUACUGCGAAAGCAUUUGCCAAGGAUGUUUUCAUUAAUCAAGAACGAAAGUUAGGGGAUCGAAGACGAUCAGAUACCGUCGUAGUCUUAACCAUAAACUAUGCCGACUAGGGGUCGGAUGAUGUUAAUUUUUUAAUGACUCAUUCGGCGCCUUACGGGAAACC
Molecule: ribosomal RNA, 766 nt
Filed under: uncultured Glomeromycotina
Lineage: Eukaryota; Fungi; Glomeromycota
Description: SSU rRNA
Rfam family: Eukaryotic small subunit ribosomal RNA
Source: RNAcentral